AUUGAACGCUGGCGGCAGGCUUAACACAUGCAAGUCGAGCGGAGAGAGGUAGCUUGCUACUGAUCUUAGCGGCGGACGGGUGAGUAAUGCUUAGGAAUCUGCCUAUUAGUGGGGGACAACAUUUCGAAAGGAAUGCUAAUACCGCAUACGUCCUACGGGAGAAAGCAGGGGAUCUUCGGACCUUGCGCUAAUAGAUGAGCCUAAGUCGGAUUAGCUAGUUGGUGGGGUAAAGGCCUACCAAGGCGACGAUCUGUAGCGGGUCGGAGAGGAUGAUCCGCCACACUGGGACUGAGACACGGCCCAGACUCCUACGGGAGGAAGCAGUGGGGAAUAUUGGACAAUGGGCGCAAGCCUGAUCCAGCCAUGCCGCGUGUGUGAAGAAGGCCUUAUGGUUGUAAAGCACUUUAAGCGAGGAGGAGGCUACUUAGAUAAUACCUAGAGAUAGUGGACGUUACUCGCAGAAUAAGCACCGGCUAACUCUGUGCCAGCAGCCGCCGUAA
This 500-nucleotide ribosomal RNA is filed under the name uncultured bacterium. Its description in RNAcentral is "partial 16S ribosomal RNA". It matches the Rfam family "Bacterial small subunit ribosomal RNA", at positions 30 to 523 of the family's 1533-position model. The record is from RNAcentral.